UAGCCUGUUGGGGUUUAAUAAUAGGUAAUUUCUGCCCAGUGCUUUGUAAGUAAAUGGCCGCGGUAUUCUGACCGUGCAAAGGUAGCAUAAUCAUUUGCUCUUUUAUUGAGGGCUUGUAUGAAUGGGAUGACGUGAUUUGGGCUGUCUCUCUUCUUUAAUUGAAACUUGCUGUUUUUGUGAAGAAGCAAAAAUGUAAAAAAAAGACAAGAAGACCCUAUUAAGCUUUACUUGUGGUUGAUACAGGUUAACUUUGUUAAUAGAAUUAAUUUGUGCUGGUCGAGUUUGGUUGGGGUGACCAAAGAAGAAAAGAUCUUCUUUUUGUAUAAAAACUAUAUGUUUAGCAAUGACCCAGAAAAUUCUGAAAAAAAGAAUAAGUUACUAUAGGGAUAACAGCGUAAUUUUUUCAAAGAGUUCUUAUCGAAGAAAAAGAUUGCGACCUCGAUGUUGACUUGUUGUUUCCGUUUUAAUAGGUGUAGAAGCUAAGAAGGUUGGUCUGUUCGACCAUUAAAACAGC
This 514-nucleotide ribosomal RNA is filed under the name Iwatanemertes piperata. Its description in RNAcentral is "partial 16S rRNA". It matches the Rfam family "Bacterial large subunit ribosomal RNA", at positions 1827 to 2597 of the family's 2925-position model. Lineage: Eukaryota; Metazoa; Nemertea; Pilidiophora; Heteronemertea; Lineidae. The record is from RNAcentral.